Molecule: unclassified non-coding RNA, 337 nt
Filed under: soil metagenome
Description: partial contains 5.8S ribosomal RNA, internal transcribed spacer 2, and large subunit ribosomal RNA
Rfam family: 5.8S ribosomal RNA (bases 6-121)
Source: RNAcentral
GAUGAAAGAACGUAGUGAAAUGCGAUAAGUAAUGUGAAUUGCAGAAUUCAGUGAAUCAUCGAAUCUUUGAACGCACAUUGCGCCCGCCAGUAUUCUGGCGGGCAUGCCAGUUCGAGCGUCAUUUCAACCAUCAAGCCCCAGGCUUGUGUUGGGGACCUGCGGCUGCCGCAGGCCCUGAAAACCAGUGGCGGGCUCGCUAGUCACACCGAGCGUAGUAGCAUACACAUCGCUCAGGGCGUGCUGCGGGUUCCGGCCGUUAAACCCCUUUUUUACCCAAGGUUGACCUCGGAUCAGGUAGGAAGACCCGCUGAACUUAAGCAUAUCAAUAAGCGGAGGA